RNAcentral lists this ribosomal RNA (449 nucleotides) under uncultured bacterium. RNAcentral describes it as "partial 16S ribosomal RNA". It matches the Rfam family "Bacterial small subunit ribosomal RNA", at positions 29 to 523 of the family's 1533-position model. The record is from RNAcentral.
AACGAACGCUGGCGGCAUGCCUAACACAUGCAAGUCGAACGAGAUCUUCGGGUCUAGUGGCGCACGGGUGCGUAACGCGUGGGAAUCUGCCCUUUGGUUCGGAAUAACAGUUGGAGACGACUGCUAAUACCGGAUGAUGACGAAAGUCCAAAGAUUUAUCGCCAGAGGAUGAGCCCGCGUAGGAUUAGCUAGUUGGUGUGGUAAAGGCGCACCAAGGCGACGAUCCUUAGCUGGUCUGAGAGGAUGAUCAGCCACACUGGGACUGAGACACGGCCCAGACUCCUACGGGAGGCAGCAGUGGGGAAUAUUGGACAAUGGGCGAAAGCCUGAUCCAGCAAUGCCGCGUGAGUGAUGAAGGCCUUAGGGUUGUAAAGCUCUUUUACCCGGGAUGAUAAUGACAGCACCGGGAGAAUAAGCUCCGGCUAACUCCGUGCCAGCCGCCGCGGUAA